UACGGGGGAUCCGAGCGUUAUCCGGAUUUAUUGGGUUUAAAGGGUGCGCAGGCGGAUUUUUAAGUCAGCGGUCAAAUUGCGGGGCUCAACCCCGUACUGCCGUUGAAACUGCAUCCCUUGAGUGCGCGAGAAGUAUGCGGAAUGCGUGGUGUAGCGGUGAAAUGCAUAGAUAUCACGCAGAACUCCGAUUGCGAAGGCAGCAUACCGGCGCGCAACUGACGCUCAUGCACGAAAGCGUGGGGAGCGAACAGG
RNAcentral lists this ribosomal RNA (252 nucleotides) under uncultured Bacteroidales bacterium. RNAcentral's name for it is "partial 16S ribosomal RNA". It matches the Rfam family "Bacterial small subunit ribosomal RNA", at positions 524 to 776 of the family's 1533-position model. The record is from RNAcentral. Lineage: Bacteria; Pseudomonadati; Bacteroidota; Bacteroidia; Bacteroidales.